UAUGAAGAGUAGCUUAGCUCU
RNAcentral lists this non-coding RNA (21 nucleotides) under Caenorhabditis elegans. Lineage: Eukaryota; Metazoa; Nematoda; Chromadorea; Rhabditida; Rhabditidae. The record is from RNAcentral.